RNAcentral lists this ribosomal RNA (465 nucleotides) under uncultured Klebsiella sp. Its description in RNAcentral is "bacterial SSU rRNA". It matches the Rfam family "Bacterial small subunit ribosomal RNA", at positions 338 to 795 of the family's 1533-position model. Lineage: Bacteria; Pseudomonadati; Pseudomonadota; Gammaproteobacteria; Enterobacterales; Enterobacteriaceae. The record is from RNAcentral.
CCUACGGGGGGCUGCAGUGGGGAAUAUUGCACAAUGGGCGCAAGCCUGAUGCAGCCAUGCCGCGUGUGUGAAGAAGGCCUUCGGGUUGUAAAGCACUUUCAGCGGGGAGGAAGGCGUUAAGGUUAAUAACCUUGGCGAUUGACGUUACCCGCAGAAGAAGCACCGGCUAACUCCGUGCCAGCAGCCGCGGUAAUACGGAGGGUGCAAGCGUUAAUCGGAAUUACUGGGCGUAAAGCGCACGCAGGCGGUCUGUCAAGUCGGAUGUGAAAUCCCCGGGCUCAACCUGGGAACUGCAUUCGAAACUGGCAGGCUAGAGUCUUGUAGAGGGGGGUAGAAUUCCAGGUGUAGCGGUGAAAUGCGUAGAGAUCUGGAGGAAUACCGGUGGCGAAGGCGGCCCCCUGGACAAAGACUGACGCUCAGGCGCGAGAGCGUGGGGAGCAAACAGGAUUAGAUACCCUUGUAGUC